This 253-nucleotide ribosomal RNA is filed under the name uncultured bacterium. Its description in RNAcentral is "partial 16S ribosomal RNA". It matches the Rfam family "Bacterial small subunit ribosomal RNA", at positions 524 to 776 of the family's 1533-position model. The record is from RNAcentral.
UACGGAGGGUGCAAGCGUUAAUCGGAAUUACUGGGCGUAAAGCGCACGCAGGUGGCUGAGUCAGUCGAUUGUGAAAGCCCUGGGCUUAACCUGGGAAUUGCAGUCGAUACUACUCAGCUAGAGUAUGGGAGAGGGUAGUGGAAUUCCCGGUGUAGCGGUGAAAUGCGUAGAUAUCGGGAGAAACAUCAGUGGCGAGGGCGGCUACCUGGCCCAAUACUGACACUCAGGUGCGACAGCGUGGGGAGCAAACAGG